GUUUGGAUGAUGACUUAGAUUGUCGGAUACCCCUUCACUCCCUUAAUGAGUGAAACGUGAAGUCUGACAAAC
Choloepus hoffmanni (Hoffmann's two-fingered sloth) is the source of this 72-nucleotide small nucleolar RNA. Ensembl annotates it as small nucleolar RNA, C/D box 101. Lineage: Eukaryota; Metazoa; Chordata; Mammalia; Pilosa; Megalonychidae. The record is from Ensembl.